Molecule: ribosomal RNA, 631 nt
Filed under: uncultured bacterium
Lineage: Bacteria
Description: bacterial SSU rRNA
Rfam family: Bacterial small subunit ribosomal RNA
Source: RNAcentral
UGCAAGUCGAACGAGAUCUUCGGGUCUAGUGGCGCACGGGUGCGUAACGCGUGGGAAUCUGCCCUUUGGUUCGGAAUAACAGUUGGAAACGACAGCUAAUACCGGAUGAUGACGAAAGUCCAAAGAUUUAUCGCCAGAGGAUGAGCCCGCGUAGGAUUAGCUAGUUGGUGUGGUAAAGGCGCACCAAGGCGACGAUCCUUAGCUGGUCUGAGAGGAUGAUCAGCCACACUGGGACUGAGACACGGCCCAGACUCCUACGGGAGGCAGCAGUGGGGAAUAUUGGACAAUGGGCGAAAGCCUGAUCCAGCAAUGCCGCGUGAGUGAUGAAGGCCUUAGGGUUGUAAAGCUCUUUUACCCGGGAUGAUAAUGACAGUACCGGGAGAAUAAGCUCCGGCUAACUCCGUGCCAGCAGCCGCGAUAAUACGGAGGGAGCUAGCGUUGUUCGGAAUUACUGGGCGUAAAGCGCACGUAGGCGGCUUUGUAAGUUAGAGGUGAAAGCCUGGAGCUCAACUCCAGAACUGCCUUUAAGACUGCAUCGCUUGAAUCCAGGAGAGGUGAGUGGAAUUCCGAGUGUAGAGGUGAAAUUCGUAGAUAUUCGGAAGAACACCAGUGGCGAAGGCGGCUCACUGGA